GAGGGUAUAGCUCAAUGGUAGAGCACUUGACUGCAGAUCAAGAGGUCCCCAGCUGAACUCAGGGUGCCCCUU
Non-coding RNA from Larimichthys crocea (large yellow croaker), 72 nucleotides. The record is from Rfam. NCBI's taxonomy places the organism in Eukaryota, Metazoa, Chordata, Actinopteri, Sciaenidae.